This 729-nucleotide ribosomal RNA is filed under the name uncultured eukaryote. Its description in RNAcentral is "SSU rRNA". It matches the Rfam family "Eukaryotic small subunit ribosomal RNA", at positions 670 to 1426 of the family's 1831-position model. The record is from RNAcentral.
CGGGUGCACUGAUCCGGCCGGGCCUUUCCCUCUGUGGAACCCCAUGGCCUUCACUGGCUGUGCGGGGGAAACAGGACUUUUACUGUGAAAAAAUUAGAGUGCUCCAGGCAGGCCUAUGCUCGAAUACAUUAGCAUGGAAUAAUAGAAUAGGACGCGUGGUUCUAUUUUGUUGGUUUCUAGGACCGCCGUAAUGAUUAAUAGGGACAGUCGGGGGCAUCAGUAUUCAAUUGUCAGAGGUGAAAUUCUUGGAUCUAUUGAAGACUAACUACUGCGAAAGCAUUUGCCAAGGAUGUUUUCAUUGAUAAGGAACGAAAGUUAGGGGAUCGAAGACGAUCAGAUACCGUCGUAGUCUUAACUAUAAACUAUGCCGACUAGGGAUCGGACGAUGUUAUUUCUUGACGCGUUCGGCACCUUUCGAGAAAUCAAAGUGCUUGGGCUCCAGGGGGAGUAUGGUCGCAAGGCUGAAACUUAAAGAAAUUGACGGAAGGGCACCACCAGGGGUGGAACCUGCGGCUUAAUUUGACUCAACACGGGGAAACUCACCAGGUCCAGACACAGUGAGGAUUGACAGAUUGAGAGCUCUUUCUUGAUUCUGUGGGUGGUGGUGCAUGGCCGUUCUUAGUUGGUGGAGUGAUUUGUCUGCUUAAUUGCGAUAACGAACGAGACCUUAACCUGCUAAAUAGCCCGUACUGCCCUGGCAGUUCGCCGGCUUCUUAGAGGGACUAUCGG